AACAUGCAUGGUUUAGGAAAGCUCUAUUCAAUAUAGAAUUAGGAAUCUUCAUGGGAGGUUCUGAAUUCUUGUAUGCCUAUAUAAAGGGACUUUAGCCUUGCUCGAUCUAUCGAUCACUACAAGAAGUACAUAUUCACUGUCCCAUAGCGUGAUUGCAUCCGAAAAAUUGAUCAGAGGCCAACUUGAUUCAAGGCAGAUUCGUGACAUAUAUAAGCGUCGACCUGGUAAGUAGGUCAUAAGUGAUAACUGAGAUCCCCUCAACUCGCCGCAAGGAAGUCCCUUCGGCGUCAUCGGAUAAAAUUGGAACUCGCCGCAAUGAGUUCGCGUUGGGAGCGUGAAGUCCCCGGAUGGGCAGAUCCCCCGAUCCAAAAGGCAAAAAAGGCAAAGCAAAAGCCAGACGAUUUAGCAUAGGACCAGCUCCGUCAGAUCUACACAUUGGUCCCGGUCGCUGGCCCUCUUAACAACAAGAAGGAACGUAUAAAAUGGUUUAAGGUGUUCUGUAACGUUUGUAAAAAAUUCAACGGUUGCAUCAACUGUGAUCGGUUGCAAGAUUAUGAUUAUCUCCAACAUCAUGCAGCAAUCAUCCACGGUUUAGGUUUAGGAGAAAAUGAGACCAAAAUGGAAGAGGAUAAGCAUGAUGAAGACACGAGUAUGGUACCAGGAUCAUCUUCUGAUUUCUCAGAGGGCCAGCUCCGUAAGAUCUACGACUUGGUUCCGGAACCUGGUCCUGCUGACAUGUUAGAAGAUAAGGAACCUAUAAAAUGGUUUACGUUGUUUUGUGAGCUGUGUGCUUCUGUUGUGGGUUGCAUCCAAGAGGGUUCUAACUUGCAGGAUUGUCGUGCCACCCAUCAACAUGCAUCAAUCCACCGCGAUGUUUUGCUUGACCUUCCUACAGGUAUUAAUCAAUGUCAUGAAGACACUAGUAUGGCACCAAGACCAAUACCAUAUCACUCAGAGGCGGAGCUCCUUCGGAUCUACUCUGUACGUUCAUACACUACGGGGGAUUUAGGAGGUCUGCGGAGCCUCCUAGUGAGGAGCCUGUAGUGGUUUGGUAUGCAGUGGCUUGUAAGCUCUGUUUGGAGGUUGAAUAUACCACCCAAGAUUAUCCUAGCUUGCAGGAUAGUCAUUGGUUGCAAAAACAUGCUUUGACGGCGCACAGCGAGUACUUGUCUAUGGAUGCCCCUACAGUACCAGAUCUUGAAGAUUUCAACAGCGAGCAGCUGAUAGGGUACGAGGGACCAGACUUUUUCUUGGGUGAAGAUGAUGCACAUCUGCAGGAGGGAUUUGUAAAGGUUUGUCGGAUGUGUCACUGUGAAAAUUGUAGCAGCGGUGACUACAGAUCUCAUAUGAUGUAUUGUGAUGUUUGUAAUGAAUCUGGUACCCACCUGUCUUGGAAUUGUCCUACAGGAAAUUGGGAGCUUGGACAGCCUACACCGUGCAACCGCUCGAACUGAAAUGAAGGAAUCAGUAACUAGAACCUUUUAGACAAUGCAUCUAUAUAUGGGUGCCUGAGUUGCCCCAAGCUGUAUGCAUGGUUUAAUAUGCCUUGUUAACUUAUGAAAUAUGAUUUGCUAUAAUUUGUGAGAUUGUUGGAGUCAUGUUGCUUGAUUGUUCAUUUUUAUCCAGAUGACAAUGUGUCAUUAUGGGUGGAUUAUGUGUAAUCAAUCUAUGAUAUCGAGCUUGUUUUU
Long non-coding RNA from Rosa chinensis, 1688 nucleotides. RefSeq lists it as uncharacterized. The record is from RefSeq and is a predicted model, not a curated record. The transcript is spliced from 4 exons. NCBI's taxonomy places the organism in Eukaryota, Viridiplantae, Streptophyta, Magnoliopsida, Rosales, Rosaceae.